AUGGAGUACCAGGGACAGCAGCAGCACGGUCAGGCGACUAACCGCGUCGACGAGUACGGUAACCCGGUGGCCGGACAUGGCGUCGGCACCGGCAUGGGCGCGCACGGCGGCGUCGGCACCGGCGCGGCCGCUGGUGGGCAGUUCCAGCCCUCGAGGGAGGAGCACAAGGCCGGAGGGAUCCUGCAGCGCUCCGGCAGCUCUAGUAGCUCCAGCUCGUCUGAGGAUGAUGGCAUGGGCGGGAGGAGGAAGAAGGGCAUCAAGGAUAAGAUUAAGGAGAAGCUUCCGGGUAGCCACGGCGACCAGCAGCAGACCGCUGGCACCUACGGGCAGCAAGGUCAUACUGGAACGGCCGGCACCGGCGGCAACUACGGCCAGCCCGGACACACCGGAAUGGCUGGCACCGACGGCACCGGUGAGAAGAAGGGCAUCAUGGACAAGAUCAAGGAGAAGCUGCCCGGACAGCACUGA
RNAcentral lists this ribosomal RNA (468 nucleotides) under Triticum aestivum (bread wheat). Its description in RNAcentral is "partial small subunit ribosomal RNA". Lineage: Eukaryota; Viridiplantae; Streptophyta; Magnoliopsida; Poales; Poaceae. The record is from RNAcentral.